This 371-nucleotide long non-coding RNA is filed under the name Dromaius novaehollandiae (emu). RNAcentral describes it as "lncRNA (ENSDNVG00000005539.1)". The record is from RNAcentral. Lineage: Eukaryota; Metazoa; Chordata; Aves; Casuariiformes; Dromaiidae.
CAUGAGAACUCUGGAACAUUUUCAUAGAACUACAGCCCAUCUAAGAUAAAUGUGGUUGAAAGACAUCAACAUUCUGGAAAAGGCCAGAUGAUACAGCUGAAAGCUGCCAGAGAAGGAUCUGUGGUCAGAGCCCAGUGGAACUUGGACUUCCCCUAAAACUGUGUGCGAAGUUGCUGUGGAGUCUGCCCUACCCCUAAGUUUAUAUAAGGUAUGYAGCUGGGUAUGAGGAAGGUGGGACUGCCCUCCCCAUAUAGGAGCACUCCUGUGAUCUGACUGAGCAAUCAUUUGUUGACUCAAGGUAGGUGCGCCUUAGAGAGGAGAACAUGCAAAGAGGCAAAUCUAAAUGCAAAUUUUGAUUUGAGGGCAUAGUC